ACCUUAGUAGUUUAAAAAGAACACUAAUUUGUGGCAUUAGAAGAAGCGAACGCAACGCUCUGAGGUC
RNAcentral lists this transfer RNA (67 nucleotides) under Holothuria forskali. RNAcentral describes it as "transfer RNA-His". The record is from RNAcentral. Lineage: Eukaryota; Metazoa; Echinodermata; Holothuroidea; Aspidochirotida; Holothuriidae.